RNAcentral lists this long non-coding RNA (373 nucleotides) under Dromaius novaehollandiae (emu). RNAcentral's name for it is "lncRNA (ENSDNVG00000001555.1)". The record is from RNAcentral. Lineage: Eukaryota; Metazoa; Chordata; Aves; Casuariiformes; Dromaiidae.
UGCUCUCAGUCUGAAUAAAUUCCUUUUCUUUGAGUUCUUCCCAGUAAUCAGCUUUUAUAUUGCAAGCAGCAGGCUCGAGCUUUGUUUAUUCCUUUAUUUUGAGAAUUCUGCAAUAGAAAAGGCAGAUGAUGAUUUAUUCCCAUGGCACAUCUGAGCUCUGGAAACAAACUGGGCUUGAACUUGUCUGAAUUACCCACUAUGCACUUCAUGAAAAAUAAUACCAGCACAGUUAUCAAAUCAAUCAAAAAAUUAAAGAGGAAGAGCUGAUCAUAGCCAUAUGUUGCUCGGGAAAGAAAGCGUCAACAGUUGAGCAGUGUAACCAAUCUGUGAACCAAAUUUGUAGUCUUUCUGAGAGCUAUUUGAUGAAAGAGAU